Molecule: ribosomal RNA, 466 nt
Filed under: uncultured bacterium
Lineage: Bacteria
Description: partial 16S ribosomal RNA
Rfam family: Bacterial small subunit ribosomal RNA
Source: RNAcentral
GAUGAACGCUGGCGGCGUGCUUAACACAUGCAAGUCGAACGGAAAGGCCCCUGCUUGCAGGGGUACUCGAGUGGCGAACGGGUGAGUAACACGUGGGUGAUCUGCCCUGCACUUCGGGAUAAGCCUGGGAAACUGGGUCUAAUACCGGAUAGGACGAUGGUUUGGAUGCCAUUGUGGAAAGUUUUUCGGUGUGGGAUGAGCUCGUGGCCUAUCAGCAUGUUGGUGGGGUAAUGGCCUACCAAGGCGUCGGCGGGUAGCCGGCCUGGGAGGGGGUACGGCCACAUUGGGACUUGAGAACGGCCCAGACUCCCACGGGGGGCAGCAGGGGGGAAAAUUGCACAAAUGGCGCAAGCCUGAUGCAGCGACGCCGGGGGGGGGGUGACGGCCUUCGGGUUGGAAACUCCUUUCGCUAUGGACGAAGCGUUUUGUGACGGUAACUGGAAAAGAAGCACCGGCUAACUACGUG